GGCACAUCUGAAUCUGAUCCGCCCCAUUGCCAUCUUUAUGUGCAUUUGUGAUUAAAUGGGUCACCAAUAGAAUUUAUUGGGCACCAAAAAAACAAAUAAAAAAAACAAUGAACAUCUCUCCCCUUCACAAAAGUCCAACUCCUCCCUUUCAUUCUCUCCGCUCGCUUCCCCCUUCAUUCUCUCUCUCCUCCUUCCUGUAUCCUCUCUCUACCUCUUCUCUUUCAUGCAGCAACGCCUCCGUCCUCCGGUCACCAAUGACCAUCAAAUUAUACCUCCAGAAGCCUCUUCCCUUCCUCUUUCCAACCCUUAAGUUAGUUUCUACAAAUUCGUAGCCGAAUUUUCUGAAUUUCAGAUCUAAGAAACGGUGACCGCGGGUUUUCCGGCCAAUUUUCGGCGAAGUUUUCCGGAAUUGGACCUUAACCCAAGAGGUAAAAAUGAUCAUCUCCUCGUGGCUGUUCCCUACUAUUGAGGACGAAGAAGGUUAACCAAGGUUGUUUCCAACCUGGGCCGAGAAGAAUGGAAGCCUUGGAAUGUUGUGAGUGAAACUAAGGUGAACAUGGUUCUUCUAAAAAAAACUAAGGUUGUGAGUUCGAAUGGAAAAGUGUAACAGAUUCAUCCCCUUCCAUUAACUGAAAACAGGGAUCCAAAGUGCACUAUUUUGGUAGAGAACCUACCUGACGAUCACUACGUGGAGAACCUUAAGAGUAUACUUGGUGAAGCUAGAAGGUAGAGAUAGCAAUUACUAAGGCUCAAGCAUUACGAUGAGCACGUCAUUAUUAAAAAACAUGUUUGGAGGUGUUCAAGAAAAUGUGAAGUCUUUUAAGUGGCAAUUUCCUUCAAAUUUGGUGCCUGUUUCGUACUUUGACGGAUAGUUUCAUAUUUUUUAGUAUAGCUCAUUGGUUUUAGAUCUGAUUUUUUUGAAUAUGUGUUUAGCAAAACUGCAAUUCUGUGUAGUCUAUUAACUAUAUAUAUAGUCUAGAUUAAUGGCCCUUGUUUUUUUUUUUAAAAACAUAUUACAACAUGGCCACCAAUGUAUAAAAAGUAUAUAAUAUUUCAAAGGUGUAACUAU
This is a long non-coding RNA of Malus domestica (apple), 1069 nucleotides long. RefSeq lists it as uncharacterized. The record is from RefSeq and is a predicted model, not a curated record. NCBI's taxonomy places the organism in Eukaryota, Viridiplantae, Streptophyta, Magnoliopsida, Rosales, Rosaceae.